CAUGCAAGUCGAACGAGACCUUCGGGUCUAGUGGCGCACGGGUGCGUAACGCGUGGGAAUCUGCCCUUUGGUUCGGAAUAACUCAGGGAAACUUGAGCUAAUACCGGAUAAUGACUUCGGUCCAAAGAUUUAUCGCCAAAGGAUGAGCCCGCGUAAGAUUAGCUAGUUGGUGAGGUAAAGGCUCACCAAGGCGACGAUCUUUAGCUGGUCUGAGAGGAUGAUCAGCCACACUGGGACUGAGACACGGCCCAGACUCCUACGGGAGGCAGCAGUGGGGAAUAUUGGACAAUGGGCGAAAGCCUGAUCCAGCAAUGCCGCGUGAGUGAUGAAGGCCUUAGGGUUGUAAAGCUCUUUUACCCGGGAUGAUAAUGACAGUACCGGGAGAAUAAGCUCCGGCUAACUCCGUGCCAGCAGCCGCGGUAAUACGGAGGGAGCUAGCGUUGUUCGGAAUUACUGGGCGUAAAGCGCACGUAGGCGGCUUUGUAAGUUAGAGGUGAAAGCCCGGGGCUCAACUCCGGAAUUGCCUUUAAGACUGCAUCGCUUGAAUCCGGGAGAGGUGAGUGGAAUUCCGAGUGUAGAGGUGAAAUUCGUAGAUAUUCGGAAGAACACCAGUGGCGAANGCGGCUCACUGGACCGGUAUUGACGCUGA
RNAcentral lists this ribosomal RNA (649 nucleotides) under uncultured bacterium. RNAcentral describes it as "bacterial SSU rRNA". It matches the Rfam family "Bacterial small subunit ribosomal RNA", at positions 54 to 749 of the family's 1533-position model. The record is from RNAcentral.